GACGAACGCUGGCGGCGUGCUUAACACAUGCAAGUCGAACGGAAAGGCCUGCUUUCCCUUGUGGAUUGCGGGUACUCGAGUGGCGAACGGGUGAGUAACACGUGAGUGAUCUGCCCCCAACUUGGGUAUAAGCCUGGGAAACUGGGUCUAAUUCCCGAUAGGACUGCAGGGUGGUGCCUGUGGUGGAAAACGAUUUUCUAGUGGUUGGGGAUGAGCUCGCGGCCUAUCAGCUUGUUGGUGGGGUAAUGGCCUACCAAGGCGGCGACGGGUAGCGGGCCUGAGAGGGUGGACGGCCACAUUGGGACUGAGAUACGGCCCAGACUCCUACGGGAGGCAGCAGUGGGGAAUAUUGCACAAUGGGCGGAAGCCUGAUGCAGCGACGCCGCGUGGGGGAUGACGGCCUUCGGGUUGUAAACUCCUUUCGACCGCGAGGAAGCCACCUGGUUGGAAGGGUGGUGACGGUAGUGGUAGAAGAAGCACCGGCUAACUACGUG
This 494-nucleotide ribosomal RNA is filed under the name uncultured bacterium. RNAcentral describes it as "partial 16S ribosomal RNA". It matches the Rfam family "Bacterial small subunit ribosomal RNA", at positions 28 to 507 of the family's 1533-position model. The record is from RNAcentral.